RNAcentral lists this ribosomal RNA (118 nucleotides) under Microcebus murinus (gray mouse lemur). Lineage: Eukaryota; Metazoa; Chordata; Mammalia; Primates; Cheirogaleidae. The record is from RNAcentral.
GUCUACAGCCAUACCACCCAGAACAUGCACAAUCUCCUCUGAUCUCAGAAGCUUAGCAGGGUACAGGGCUUGGUUAGUACUUGGAUGGGAGAUCUAAAGGGCAAGAAAGAUGCCAACA